AAAUCGCCAUCGACCAAGCAAGUAGCAAUAACUAGGGCUGACACAGAGAAGGAAAAACAUCGGCUGCAAUUUUUCCUACAGUACGUUCAUUGCGAAUAACACUUGAGAGGCUUUUUCUCGAAAUGCUUAUGCAUAGUAGGGAAAAACGGAAUCGGCCGUUAUCCGAAUUUCGAGAGGGUGUAAUCUAAUUAUGCCAACUAGGGUGGAACCGCGGAACUGAUGAAUCAGCUUUCGUCCCUUGC
RNAcentral lists this non-coding RNA (242 nucleotides) under Bacillus sp. (in: firmicutes). Its description in RNAcentral is "Bacillus sp. T-box sequence". It matches the Rfam family "T-box leader". From Rfam's summary of the family: Uncharged tRNA acts as the effector for transcription antitermination of genes in the T-box leader family. The record is from RNAcentral. Lineage: Bacteria; Bacillati; Bacillota; Bacilli; Caryophanales; Bacillaceae.